Molecule: ribosomal RNA, 427 nt
Filed under: uncultured bacterium
Lineage: Bacteria
Description: partial 16S ribosomal RNA
Rfam family: Bacterial small subunit ribosomal RNA
Source: RNAcentral
GUGGGGAAUUUUGGACAAUGGGGGAAACCCUGAUCCAGCGACGCCGCGUGAAGGAUGAAGGCCUUCGGGUUGUAAACUUCUUUUGGAGGGGACGAAUAAAUUGACGGUACCCUCAGAAAAAGCCACGGCUAACUACGUGCCAGCAGCCGCGGUAAUACGUAGGUGGCGAGCGUUACUCGGAAUUACUAGGCGUAAAGCGUAUGUAGGUGGUUAGAUAAGUCUAUGGUGAAAUUUCCUGGCUUAACUGGGAAGGGACAUAGAUACUAUCUGGCUUGAGUGUGGGAGGGGGAGACGGAAUUCCUGGUGUAGCGGUGAAAUGCGUAGAUAUCAGGAGGAACACCGAUGGCGAAAGCAGUCUCCUGGCCCAAUACUGACACUGAGGUACGAAAGCUAGGGUAGCAAACAGGAUUAGAUACCCCAGUAGUCC